Molecule: long non-coding RNA, 1635 nt
Organism: Gopherus evgoodei (Goodes thornscrub tortoise)
Lineage: Eukaryota; Metazoa; Chordata; Testudines; Testudinidae
Exons: 3
Source: RefSeq, a predicted model, not a curated record
AGUUUCUAGCAGGCAUCACAGAAAAACUGGGUCUGGAGGAAGAAUAUGAAAAGGCAUAGAAUAGUGCCUUACAGAUCAGUUUCAGGAGGGCAUUCCAUGUACAUGGGGAGUAAAAAUGAAGAAGGCGUGGGACGUUUGUGUGAUGCUGAUAAAUGCGAGGACGAGGCUGGCACCAAUGGCAGAGACUUGAGCAGCAGCUUUUAACUGCAACCCCACAGGAUGCACCAGCAGUAGGAAAAGAGCAUUGAAGCAAGAUAGGUGAAUAGCCUGUGACCUCUCCGGACUCAGGAUGGAGUUUGCAGGAGCCAUCUUGAGAUGAAAGAGAGCAGUUCCAUAGGAGCCACACCAAACUCUGGCUGCAACAAACCCCUGACCUGGGGGAAACUAGCCCUGCUAUUAGGAAGAGAGCAGCAGUCACACUGGUCCCAGCCUGAGAGAAACGUGUCAGGUAGCAAAUGCAGACCUGCGAGAUGACCUUUCACCAUCAUUUCUAUCGCUAAUGCUAAGAGGAGCUGACCAGGAUAUCUGCACCUGUCUAGUUUCAGAGAAGAAAAGCUGCAGCCAUCCUCCAGCACAGAGCAGCAACACAUGCCUGUUCCUGAAGGCUCCAUCAGCCAAAUUACUGUGUUCCAGAAGGGCCAGUGUCCUGGUAGGUGACCAGACUCAUUGACUCAUCCACCUGACGUGGAGGCCUAAUCUGGAUAAGUGUAAGCAGUCCCAGAGGCACACCUCUGCAACUCCUUUCUGAGCUAGAACAGGGUAUUAGAUAGACUCUUGGACAACAUGUAUGCAGACUGUGGACUUGAGACUCCACUGUCUCUUUUAUCUUGUGUUGUCACCAUCUCUUUUACAGCACCCAGAGACCCCAACUGAGACUGGACAGCAAGUCAGCAGCAGAACCAGCAACAGAAGUCAGAAUUCCUGACUUCCAGUGACAGUACCCUCUCCACUGCUUCACAGAUGAUGCUCCCUUUCUUGAUUAGCCCUGGAUUACAACAUUAUACAAAAUUAUAACAUAAAACAAAAAGGAGAAGGGGUCUUACUGCCUGGUUUUUGGUUUUUGCCCCUCUCUAAUCUCUCAGUAUUUCUAAUGCAACGAUCGCCUUAGCAUUUUUAACAGUUGUAAAGUACCAUGUUCACUUGCUUCAUUUGUUAAUUGGCUCAUUAUUGUCUUAACAAUAGGUGCAAAAAAGGCUAAAAUGCUUUAAAAGUACCCAGAUGCUAUGGUGAUAGGCACUUUCAAAAUGCUGAUUAGAUAUUGCACAUAAUAAUAACAUCGCGCAGGGUGCAAAGGAGCUAUAGAUAGGGUACAAUGUCUUUGCUCCCAUCUCCUUUCUAAUGUAUAUCAUAAAACAAACACAUUAUAUACCCCCUACCAUUAAUUAAAAUAGGGCAUGGUUUUGUUUAAGGGAGGUUUUUCCACUGACUUCAUUGGAAGUCCUAAAAUGAGUCCCUAAAUAGACAAAGAUGAGUAAAUGUAUGGGCUCAGUUCUGCGGGGUGGCCUGAUCCUGCAAAGCAUUUAAGCACACGCUUAUCUUCCUUAAUCACAUGGACAGUCACAAUGAAGUUAACCUAACCACCAUGGGACUAUUACCUGCUUAAAGUUAAGUAGUAUAGUUGUAGUUCUGUGGGUC